This 745-nucleotide long non-coding RNA is filed under the name Androctonus crassicauda. The record is from RNAcentral. Lineage: Eukaryota; Metazoa; Arthropoda; Arachnida; Scorpiones; Buthidae.
GCUUAUGGUGGUAGACAAGAAGUGCAUAUUGUGGAGAAUCCAAUUAAUAUUCAUAAUAUAACAGGGCUCCCACAUCUCUUAAUUUCUCGGGAUCAAACUUGGCUUAAUGACUUUCCAUAAUCACGCGGGUUAGCAUAAGCUACCAUGGGUCAAGAUCGCCCCAGAGUGGUAUAGUUUGGGAUGGCAACGAAAAUAUUUUCAUUACCUUCAGUCAUAUUCGAAUUCGAAAUGACCGCAUAAUCGGAUCGGAAUGGCAAUAUAAUAAUGUCAUAAAACUCUGUUUGAAAUGUGAUGAUAUCGCGUCACUAUGAUGAUGGUGUUAAUUCGAGACAUAAAAUGUUCAUUAAAUCAACAUUAAAAUUGGAAACGAAAAGCCAAUAGAUCACAAUGCUAUAAUAAAUGAAUUAAAUUAUGUGAUAAAAUGAUACUUGUGCAUGAGUCAAUAUCAAUUGAUUAUUCAUUCGGCUUUCCAGUUGACCCCAUCAUGGAUAUUGGCCAGCCUGUCAGUAGGAUACCCAGAAUCUUUGGUACCCGGGGGGCAUUUUUGCCCCUCUUCUUCUUCCAAAAAACUCACAUGGUCUUAACUUUCAACGCACAUUAUUAUAUUAAAUAUAUAUCAUUAUAUAAUACGCACAUUAUAUAUCAUUAUAUAACGCACAUUAUUAUAUCAUAUAUCAUUUUCAGUUUUUAUUAUAUUAAAAACUGAAAAUGAUACAAAAAUUUUUAUACAAAUAUUUGGUGAAUA